CCCUACGGGGUGCAGCAGGCGCGAAAACUUUACAAUGCGGGAAACCGUGAUAAGGGAACCCCGAGUGCCUGUAUAUGCAGGCUGUCCAGGUGUCUAAAAAACACCUGAAGAAAGGGCCGGGCAAGACCGGUGCCAGCCGCCGCGGUAAUACCGGCGGCUCGAGUGGUGGCCACUUUUAUUGGGCUUAAAGCGUUCGUAGCUGGGUUGUUAAGUCUCUUGGGAAAUCUGACGGCUUAACCGUCAGGCGUCUAAGAGAUACUGGCAAUCUUGGAACCGGGAGAGGUGAGGGGUACUUCGGGGGUAGGAGUGAAAUCCUGUAAUCCUCGAGGGACCACCUGUGGCGAAGGCGCCUCACCAGAACGGCUUCGACAGUGAGGGACGAAAGCUGGGGGAGCAAACCGGAUUAGAUACCCGGGUAGUCCCAGCCGUAAACGAUGCGCGUUAGGUGUAUCGGUGACCACGAGUCACCGAGGUGCCGAAGGGAAACUGUGAAACGUGCCGCCUGGGAAGUACGGUCGCAAGGCUGAAACUUAAAGGAAUUGGCGGGGGAG
RNAcentral lists this ribosomal RNA (551 nucleotides) under uncultured Methanoculleus sp. RNAcentral describes it as "bacterial SSU rRNA". It matches the Rfam family "Archaeal small subunit ribosomal RNA", at positions 321 to 876 of the family's 1478-position model. The record is from RNAcentral. Lineage: Archaea; Methanobacteriati; Methanobacteriota; Methanomicrobia; Methanomicrobiales; Methanomicrobiaceae.